This 836-nucleotide ribosomal RNA is filed under the name uncultured fungus. Its description in RNAcentral is "SSU rRNA". It matches the Rfam family "Eukaryotic small subunit ribosomal RNA", at positions 564 to 1429 of the family's 1831-position model. Lineage: Eukaryota; Fungi. The record is from RNAcentral.
GUGCCAGCAGCCGCGGUAAUUCCAGCUCCAAUAGCGUAUAUUAAAGUUGUUGUGGUUAAAAAGCUCGUAGUUGAACCUUGGGCCUGGCUGGCCGGUCCGCCUCACCGCGUGCACUGGUCCGGCCGGGCCUUUCCCUCUGUGGAACCCCAUACCCUUCACUGGGCGUGGCGGGGAAACAGGACAUUUACUUUGAAAAAAUUAGAGUGCUCCAGGCAGGCCUAUGCUCGAAUACAUUAGCAUGGAAUAAUAAAAUAGGACGCGCGGUUCUAUUUUGUUGGUUUAUAGGACCGCCGUAAUAAUUAAUAGGGACAGUCGGGGGCAUCAGUAUUCAACUGUCAGAGGUGAAAUUCUUGGAUCAGUUGAAGACUAACUACUGCGAAAGCAUUUGCCAAGGAUGUUUUCAUUAAUCAGGAACGAAAGUUAGGGGAUCGAAGACGAUCAGAUACCGUCGUAGUCUUAACCAUAAACUAUGCCGACUAGGGAUCGGACGGUGUUAUUCAUGACCCGUUCGGCACCUUACGAGAAAUCAAAGUGCUUGGGCUCCAGGGGGAGUAUGGGUCGCAAGGCUGAAACUUAAAGAAAUUGACGGAAGGGCACCACCAGGGUGGAGCCUGCGGCUUAAUUUGACUCAACACGGGGAAACUCACCAGGUCCAGACACAAUAAGGAUUGACAGAUUGAGAGCUCUUUUCUUGAUUUUGUGGUGGUGGUGCAUGGCCGUUCUUAGUUGGUGGGGUGACUUGUCUGCUUAAUUGCGAUAACGAACGAGACCUUAACUGCUAAAUAGCCCGCAUUUGCUCCGGGCAGUGCGCUGGGCUUCUUUAGGAAGGGACUUUC